AGUGAACGCUGGCGGUAGGCCUAACACAUGCAAGUCGAACGGUAGCACAGUAAGAGCUUGCUCUUACGGGUGGCGAGUGGCGGACGGGUGAGGAAUACAUCGGAAUCUACUUUUUCGUGGGGGAUAACGUAGGGAAACUUACGUUAAUACCGCAUACGACCUGCGGGUGAAAGCAGGGGAUCUUCGGACCUUGCGCGAUUGAAUGAGCCGAUGUCGGAUUAGCUAGUUGGCGGGGUAAAGGCCCACCAAGGCGACGAUCCGUAGCUGGUCUGAGAGGAUGAUCAGCCACACUGGAACUGAGACACGGUCCAGACUCCUACGGGAGGCAGCAGUGGGGAAUAUUGGACAAUGGGCGCAAGCCUGAUCCAGCCAUACCGCGUGGGUGAAGAAGGCCUUCGGGUUGUAAAGCCCUUUUGUUGGGAAAGAAAAGCAGCAGGUUAAUACCCCGCUGUUCUGACGGUACCCAAAGAAUAAGCACCGGCUAACUUCGUG
Molecule: ribosomal RNA, 492 nt
Filed under: uncultured bacterium
Lineage: Bacteria
Description: partial 16S ribosomal RNA
Rfam family: Bacterial small subunit ribosomal RNA
Source: RNAcentral